CUUUGAUUUACAUUGUUCUACUCGCAUAUAUUGAGAGCAAUUUUUGCACCAUAUUCCGAGUGAUUUAUUUGUUGAGUGCAAUAACUGGUGAGAUUUGAGUCGAAGCAUGUUUCAGAAAGAGAUUUGGGUUAUAUUUCACUUUAAGGCUAAGGUUGUGUUUGUGUUGGUUGAACUUUUUUCACACACUCCAAAUUUUGAAUGUCAUGCAAUAUCUUUACUUGCUGCUAGUCUUUUGAACUUUGAUUGAUUAUCUUGUUGAGGUUGUGAAAUUCAUGACUGGUUCUUUAACCUUGGCAUGAGAAUGAAAGAAGUCGUUUUAGUAAAGAAAUUUUUGGAUGUUUGUGGGUAACAUCUUUGGAAACACGAGACUUUAACUCGUCCAUGAGAGGUAAUCUAUUGGAUUAAGGGCUUGUUGCAUGUGCUAAAUUCAAUCGUGAUUUCUUGCGGAAGUGGUUUAGAGUAGUUGCUUUUAUUUUUCUUUUUGAUUUUAUUUUAGUCGCCUUAGUUGCUAGGUUCUAAAAUUAAAGCUGGUUGGGAGGUGUGAUGAAUGCUUAAACUUACGUAGUUAUUCUAGGAAUUUUGGAUAUUAUAUUCAUUCUCUCAAUUUAUAUUUAAUUGUGAUUUAAUGUAUUUAAUUUAAAUUUUUAGAAAAACUACACUUGAGCCAUCAACAAUAUAAAUUGCUCAACCAGGCCCGUAAGACUCGGUUUGCUUUGAAAUCAUCUCAUAACAUCCACAGAAUCUCUAUCAAAGAUAAUAGCAAGAACACUAGAUCUGAUCGCAAUGUUGUCAAGGGUGCUUGGGCUGCUCGAAUUCAGCGCAACAAGAUGUUUUAUUCAGGAAAUUCGUCUAUUUUUUCUUUAUUUUGGAGAGGUGGUUCUACAUGAUGCUGAUCGCAAUAGGAGGACCUUCAUUCAUUCAUGUUUGAGCCGUGAAUUUUUAGACCGUGUUGUUGCUGCUACACUGACUUUUGAAAUCUUAACAAGAGAAAACUUCUAACUAAUUUCCCGACAUUACUCCCUCAGAUCAGAAAAAUCGUUUCUAAGUGUGCUUCUAGCAUUGAUGUCUCUUGGAUCAUUUGUUCAGCUUAUUUCCAUCUCUCGUUGACUUACCAA
Molecule: non-coding RNA, 1115 nt
Organism: Camellia sinensis
Lineage: Eukaryota; Viridiplantae; Streptophyta; Magnoliopsida; Ericales; Theaceae
Source: RefSeq, a predicted model, not a curated record